This 115-nucleotide non-coding RNA is filed under the name Bdellovibrionales bacterium. RNAcentral describes it as "TPP sequence". It matches the Rfam family "TPP riboswitch aptamer (THI element)". Rfam says of the family: Vitamin B(1) in its active form thiamin pyrophosphate (TPP) is an essential coenzyme that is synthesised by coupling of pyrimidine and thiazole moieties in bacteria. The previously detected thiamin-regulatory element, thi box was extended, resulting in a new, highly conserved RNA secondary structure, the THI element, which is widely distributed in eubacteria and also occurs in some archaea. The record is from RNAcentral. Lineage: Bacteria; Pseudomonadati; Bdellovibrionota; Bdellovibrionia; Bdellovibrionales.
AUACGUCACCAGGGGUGCUGUGAGAGUCAAAUCUCGAUGCUGAGAGAACAACUGUUCAACCCUUUAUACCUGAUCUGGGUAAAGCCAGCGGAGGGAGAGCCGACAAAUGGAAGAU